CCCACUAAGCUUCAGCUGUAGAAGAACCGUACCGCAAACCGACACAGGUAGGCAGGGUGAGAAUCCCAAGGCGCUUGAGAGAACUCGGGUGAAGGAACUAGGCAAGAUGGCACCGUAACUUCGGGAGAAGGUGCGCCUCUUGGUGUGGUCACGUGCGUGACUCAGCAUCGAGGGGUCGCAGUAACCUGGCCGCUGCGACUGUUUAUCAAAAACACAGCACUCUGCAAACACGAAAGUGGACGUAUAGGGUGUGACGCCUGCCCGGUGCUGGAAGGUUAAUUGAUGGGGUCAGCCGCAAGGCGAAGCUCUUGAUCGAAGCCCCAGUAAACGGCGGCCGUAACGAUACGGUCCUAAGGUAGCGAAAUUCCUUGUCGGGUAAGUUCCGACCUGCACGAAUGGCGUAACGACAGCGGCGCUGUCUCCACCCGAGACUCAGUGAAAUUGAAAUCGCUGUGAAGAUGCAGCGUUCCCGCGGCAAGACGGAAAGACCCCGUGAACCUUUACUAUAGCUUUACACUGAACGUUGAGUUCUUCUGUGUAGGAUAGGUGGGAGGCUAUGAAACCAGGACGCUAGUUCUGGUGGAGCCAUCCUUGAAAUACCACCCUGAAGUGCUUGACGUUCUAACCUAGGUCCGUAAUCCGGAUCGGGGACCGUGUAUGGUGGGUAGUUUGACUGGGGCGGUCUCCUCCCAAAGAGUAACGGAGGAGCACGAAGGUACGCUCAGCGCGGUCGGACAUCGCGCACUGUGUGCAAAGGCAUAAGCGUGCUUGACUGCGAGAUCGACGGAUCAAGCAGGUACGAAAGUAGGUCUUAGUGAUCCGGUGGUUCUGUAUGGAAGGGCCAUCGCUCAACGGAUAAAAGGUACUCCGGGGAUAACAGGCUGAUACCGCCCAAGAGUUCAUAUCGACGGCGGUGUUUGGCACCUCGAUGUCGGCUCAUCACAUCCUGGGGCUGUAGCCGGUCCCAAGGGUAUGGCUGUUCGCCAUUUAAAGUGGUACGCGAGCUGGGUUCAGAACGUCGUGAGACAGUUCGGUCCCUAUCUGUCGUGGGCGUUGGAGAUUUGAGGGGGGCUGCUCCUAGUACGAGAGGACCGGAGUGGACGUUCCGCUGGUGUUCGGGUUGUCAUGCCCAUGGCAUUGCCCGGUAGCUACGAACGGAAGUGAUAACCGCUGAAAGCAUCUAAGCGGGAAGCACGCCCCAAGAUGAGAUCUCCCGAGAGCUUGACUCUCCUAAAGGCACCAUCAAGACUAGGUGGUUGAUAGGCACGGUGUGGAAGUGCAGCAAUGCAUUGAGCUUACGUGUACUAAUGAGCCGUGAGGCUUGACC
RNAcentral lists this ribosomal RNA (1327 nucleotides) under metagenome. RNAcentral's name for it is "bacterial LSU rRNA". It matches the Rfam family "Bacterial large subunit ribosomal RNA", at positions 1617 to 2925 of the family's 2925-position model. The record is from RNAcentral.